GACGAACGCUGGCGGCGUGCCUAAUACAUGCAAGUCGAACGCAGUUGGGACGGGUGAGUAACACGUGGGUAACCUCCCAUCAGAGGGGAGAACACUUGGAAACAGGUGCUAAACCGAUACUGGUUGAUGGACCGGCGGGGCAUUAGCUAGUUGGUGAGGGAACGGCUGACCAAGGACACGAUGCAUAGCCGACCUGAGAGGGUGAUCGGCCACACUGGGACUGAGACACGGCCCAGACUCCUACGGGAGGCAGCAGUAGGGAAUCUUCCGCAAUGGACGAAAGUCUGACCGAGCAACGCCGCGUGAGUGAAGAAGGUUUUCGGAUCGUAAAGCUCUGUUGUUAGAGAAGCGGUAUCUAACCAGAAAGCCACGGCUAACUACGUGCCAGCAGCCGCGGUAAUUC
This 403-nucleotide ribosomal RNA is filed under the name uncultured bacterium. Its description in RNAcentral is "partial 16S ribosomal RNA". It matches the Rfam family "Bacterial small subunit ribosomal RNA", at positions 28 to 526 of the family's 1533-position model. The record is from RNAcentral.